UCUUCCUCCCACCAAACCAACAUUAUAAUACUACUACUACUACUACUACUACUACUACUUCUACUACGAGGCUACUCCACUUUCAUUCAGACGACUUCUAAAAAUAAAGUCCGUGAUUCACAAUGCAUGAAUGACAAUCAUACGAUCAAAGGAGAAACUAAUACGAGCCAAAAGAACACGCAAGAGAUUGCCAAGGCUGGAGUUACGAGGAACAAACGUGACGCACGACGGAAUUACGUGACUAAUAAAUACGUAAUAAUUUCUGGCCCACCCUAUACAAAUCCUACGCGAGUACCUGAAUUUUCAACUUUUACGAGUUCCCAACGCUCGCGCAAUGGAAAGUCAAGAUAUCGAUCUCUCAGAGGUCCCCUUCGCCACAUCAGGGACGUACCUCGUAGCACGAAUAAAAAAGGUUCUUACUACAUUUCAUAUCGUACCUUCAUUUCUUUUUUUCUUUCUUUUCUCUCUCUGUCUCUCUCUCUCUCUCUCUCUUUCUCUUUCUAUUGUAAUUUAUUAAUUUUUUUAUGAUUUGUUAUAUUAUUCUUUAUUUAUAUUUA
Vespa velutina is the source of this 557-nucleotide long non-coding RNA. RefSeq lists it as uncharacterized. The record is from RefSeq and is a predicted model, not a curated record. The transcript is spliced from 3 exons. NCBI's taxonomy places the organism in Eukaryota, Metazoa, Arthropoda, Insecta, Hymenoptera, Vespidae.